AAUGGGCGAAAGCCUGACGGAGCAAUGCCGCGUGGUGGAUGAAGGCCCUCGGGUUGUAAACACCUGUCAGUAGGGAGGAAAUUUUGACCGAUCUACAGAGGAAGUCCGGGCUAAGUACGUGCCAGCAGCCGCGGUAAUACGUACCGGACAAACGUUAUUCGGAAUCACUGGGCUUAAAGAGUACGUAGGCUGCCUUGUAGGUGAGAUGUGAAAUCCCACGGCCCAACCGUGGAACUGCGUUUCAAACCACAAGGCUUGAGGGAGACAGGGGUGAGCGGAACUGAUGGUGGAGCGGUGAAAUGCGUUGAUAUCAUCAGGAACACCGGUGGCGAAGGCGGCUCACUGGGUCCUUUCUGACGCUGAGGUACGAAAGCUAGGGUAGCGAACGGGAUU
This 393-nucleotide ribosomal RNA is filed under the name uncultured Gammaproteobacteria bacterium. RNAcentral describes it as "bacterial SSU rRNA". It matches the Rfam family "Bacterial small subunit ribosomal RNA", at positions 370 to 779 of the family's 1533-position model. Lineage: Bacteria; Pseudomonadati; Pseudomonadota; Gammaproteobacteria. The record is from RNAcentral.